GUGGGGAAUAUUGGACAAUGGGCGAAAGCCUGAUCCAGCAAUGCCGCGUGAGUGAUGAAGGCCUUAGGGUUGUAAAGCUCUUUUACCCGGGAUGAUAAUGACAGUACCGGGAGAAUAAGCCCCGGCUAACUCCGUGCCAGCAGCCGCGGUAAUACGGAGGGGGCUAGCGUUGUUCGGAAUUACUGGGCGUAAAGCGCACGUAGGCGGCUUUGUAAGUUAGAGGUGAAAGCCCAGGGCUUAACCCUGGAAUUGCCUUUAAGACUGCAUCGCUAGAAUUGUGGAGAGGUAAGUGGAAUUCCGAGUGUAGAGGUGAAAUUCGUAGAUAUUCGGAAGAACACCAGUGGCGAAGGCGACUUACUGGACACAUAUUGACGCUGAGGUGCGAAAGCGUGGGGAGCAAACAGGAUUAGAAACCCUAGUAGUCC
Molecule: ribosomal RNA, 425 nt
Filed under: uncultured bacterium
Lineage: Bacteria
Description: bacterial SSU rRNA
Rfam family: Bacterial small subunit ribosomal RNA
Source: RNAcentral